CCUACGGGAGGCAGCAGUGGGGGAUAUUGCACAAUGGAGGGAACUCUGAUGCAGCGACGCCGCGUGAGGGAUGAAGGUUUUCGGAUUGUAAACCUCUGUCUUCGGUGACGAUACGAGACGGUAGCCGCGGAGGAAGCCACGGCUAAAUCCGGGCCAGCACCCGCGGUAAUACGGUGGUGGCAAGCGUUGUCCGGAAUUAAUGGGUUUAAAGGGUGCGUGGGCUGGUAGGUAAGUCAGCGGGGAAAUGCCCCCGCUCAACGGGGUGAAGUGCCAUUGAUACUGCCUUGCUGGAAUGCGGAUGCCGUGGGAGGAAUGUGUGGUGUAGCGGUGAAAUGCAUAGAUAUCACACAGAACACCAAUUGCGAAGGCAUCUCAC
Molecule: ribosomal RNA, 376 nt
Filed under: uncultured bacterium
Lineage: Bacteria
Description: partial 16S ribosomal RNA
Rfam family: Bacterial small subunit ribosomal RNA
Source: RNAcentral